GACGAAGGGGGCGAGCGCUAUCCGGAAUGACUGGGCGUAAAGGGUUCGUAGGCGGUCUUUUUUGUGAAUGGUAAAAUCUAAGAGCUCAACUCUUAAAUGCUUUUCAAACGUUAAGACUAUGAGUGGGAGAGGAGAUAGCAGAAUUUCACAUGGAGGGGUGAUAUCCAGAGAGAUGUGAAGGAAUUCCAGUGGCGAAGGCGGCUAUCUAGAUCCAGACUGACGCUGAGGAACGAAAGCAUGGGGAGCAAACAGG
RNAcentral lists this ribosomal RNA (253 nucleotides) under uncultured bacterium. RNAcentral's name for it is "partial 16S ribosomal RNA". It matches the Rfam family "Bacterial small subunit ribosomal RNA", at positions 524 to 776 of the family's 1533-position model. The record is from RNAcentral.